This 66-nucleotide transfer RNA is filed under the name Branchinotogluma japonicus. RNAcentral describes it as "tRNA-Tyr". It matches the Rfam family "tRNA". Rfam says of the family: Transfer RNA (tRNA) molecules are approximately 80 nucleotides in length. Their secondary structure includes four short double-helical elements and three loops (D, anti-codon, and T loops). The record is from RNAcentral. Lineage: Eukaryota; Metazoa; Annelida; Polychaeta; Phyllodocida; Polynoidae.
AACAAGAUGGCUGAAUAUCUAAGCAAAAGACUGUAAAUCUUAUAAUGGGCUCUUCCCCUCUUGUUA